This 380-nucleotide ribosomal RNA is filed under the name uncultured eukaryote. RNAcentral describes it as "partial 18S ribosomal RNA". It matches the Rfam family "Eukaryotic small subunit ribosomal RNA", at positions 592 to 976 of the family's 1831-position model. The record is from RNAcentral.
CAAUAGCGUAUAUUAAAGCUGUUGCGGUUAAAAAGCUCGUAGUUGGAUUUCUGUCAAGUACAACUGGUCCGCCCUCCGGGUGAGCACAUAGUUUGGUCUUGGCAUCUUGCUGGAAAUUGUUGCUGCACUUGGCUGUGUGGCGCAGUGUCCAGCACUUUCACUUUGAGGAAAUUGGAGUGUUUCAAGCAGGCAAUGCCUUUGAACUCAGUAGCAUGGAAUAAUUAGAUUGGGCUUUUGCUCCAAUUUGUCGGUUUCUGGAGCUGAGGUGAGAAUUAAUGGGGAUUGUUGGGGGCAUCCGAAUUUAGCCGUCAGAGGUGAAAUUCUUGGAUCGGCUAAAGACGGACAACUGCGAAAGCGUUUGCCCAGGAUGUUUUCAUUGA